AGGAGGUUGACCAACGCAAACCGCUCCUGAUCCGCCCCCAUCGUAACCUCACCUGUUAAACAGGUUUAAUAAAGGAUAUUCAAAGUCCGACAGAUUCGCCUGCCGUUCCGAAAGUCCACCUGAUUCAAGAUCUAUUCUGUUCUGCAGUCGCGAAAAUUUCGGCUUCAGGCGGCAUUCUGGGAAACCCAUGACGUGGAAUUUUCUGAGAUGGUGAUGACUCACGGAGUGCAAAACAAAUCAAACUUCAUAGACGACAGGUCUACCUGUACGCACUUUUGCUGUAGGUCUUGCCUUAAAAGGACAUGGCUGCUCUUUACACUAGUCUGCAGGCACAGACCCUGAUUGAAACUUUGAUCAGCAAGUGUGUCUCCACGCAAAGACUAUCACAAACAAAACUUGCUGUUCCCGCGCGGGAGGGCCUUCAGUAGACAAGGCAUGAGUAGGCUGUAGAUUCAGACCCUUAACUCGAGUGAAGGGUUUGCCCAGCAGACUAGCUCUUUACCGCGAGUAUCGGUUUGUAAUGCGACCCUCCAGCUAAACCACAUUCGGCUGUAAAAAAGGUAUAUGCCAGUAGAUCAUCCAAGUCAACCAAGCCCUAGAAGCUCAGGCUACAUGAUGUCAUAGUGACUCCCUCAAGCCCAUGAGCAAGAGAGCUUUGAUGAUGACCAUCACCAUAACCCCUGAUCAUGUCGGCACUAGCGUAGCGAGCAGGCCACGGAGCGCCGUGAGAGAUUACGGAGUUUUCAUCAACCCUUAUAAGGUAUCAUCAGGGGAGCUUUUCAUCAAUAUUUUCAUCCGACAAGUUGUCAGAUCUGACAU
Lytechinus variegatus (green sea urchin) is the source of this 819-nucleotide long non-coding RNA. RefSeq lists it as uncharacterized. NCBI's taxonomy places the organism in Eukaryota, Metazoa, Echinodermata, Echinoidea, Temnopleuroida, Toxopneustidae. The record is from RefSeq and is a predicted model, not a curated record. The transcript has 4 exons.